GAGGUAAAGGCUCACCAAGGCGACGACGGGUAGCCGGCCUGAGAGGGCGACCGGCCACACUGGGACUGAGACACGGCCCAGACUCCUACGGGAGGCAGCAGUGGGGAAUAUUGGGCAAUGGAGGAAACUCUGACCCAGCGACGCCGCGUGAGGGAUGAAGGCCUUCGGGUUGUAAACCUCUUUCAGUAGGGAAGAAGCGAAAGUGACGGUACCUACAGAAGAAGCACCGGCUAACUAUGUGCCAGCAGCCGCGGUAAUACAUAGGGUGCAAGCGUUGUCCGGAAUUAUUGGGCGUAAAGAGCUCGUAGGUGGUUCGAUACGUCGGAUGUGAAAAUCAGGGGCUCAACCCCUGACCUGCAUCCGAUACGGUCGAGCUAGAGUUUGGUAGGGGAGACUGGAAUUCCUGGUGUAGCGGUGGAAUGCGCAGAUAUCAGGAGGAACACCGAUGGCGAAGGCAGGUCUCUGGGCCAAUACUGACACUGAGGAGCGAAAGCGUGGGGAGCGAACAGGAUUAGAUACCCUGGUAGUCCACGCCGUAAACGGUGGGCGCUAGAUGUGGGGACCAUUCCAUGGUUUCUGCGUCGCAGCUAACGCAUUAAGCGCCCCGCCUGGGGAG
RNAcentral lists this ribosomal RNA (616 nucleotides) under uncultured bacterium. Its description in RNAcentral is "bacterial SSU rRNA". It matches the Rfam family "Bacterial small subunit ribosomal RNA", at positions 254 to 880 of the family's 1533-position model. The record is from RNAcentral.